AACGGUUAAAAUCUCCUGUAGAACUAGUGAUACUAACGACUAUGUUCGCUGGUAUCAUCAGAGAUCAGGACAGGCCCCUCGCUUUGUGCACUGUGAGAGUUGCAGCAAGGGAGAAGGGAUCCCAGAUCGAUUCACAGCUUCUCGCUCAGGGACCGUUGGCUAUUUAACCAUCACCAACAUCCAGGUUGAAGACGAGGCUGUUUAUUACUGUGGCAGAUGGUACAGUGGCAAGUU
This is a non-coding RNA of Podarcis lilfordi (Lilford's wall lizard), 234 nucleotides long. NCBI's taxonomy places the organism in Eukaryota, Metazoa, Chordata, Lepidosauria, Squamata, Lacertidae. The record is from the annotation of a GenBank genome assembly.